This 1689-nucleotide ribosomal RNA is filed under the name Itaipusa sinensis. RNAcentral describes it as "LSU rRNA". It matches the Rfam family "Eukaryotic large subunit ribosomal RNA", at positions 25 to 1510 of the family's 3401-position model. Lineage: Eukaryota; Metazoa; Platyhelminthes; Rhabdocoela; Koinocystididae. The record is from RNAcentral.
CCGCUGAAUUUAAGCAUAUCAUUAAGCGGAGGAAAAGAAACUAACAAGGAUUCCCCUAGUAGCGGCGAGCGAAGAGGGAAAAGCCCAGAACCGAAUCCUGCAGAGUAAUCUGUUAGGAAAUGUGGUGUUUGGUUCAAUUCUGACGGCACGCCGUUGUUGUUCUAAGUCCACGUGAUUGUGGCAAUAAGCCCAGAGAGGGUGUAAGGCCCGUAAGAACAAUACGGUGUGUCCAGGAGUUGUACCUAGAGUCGGGUUGUUUGGGAAUGCAGCCCAAAUUGGGUGGUAAACUCCAUCCAAGGCUAAAUACAACACGAGUCCGAUAGCGAACAAGUACCAUGAGGGAAAGUUGAAAAGAACUUUGAAGAGAGAGUUCAAUAGUGCGUGAAACCGCUCGGAGGUAAACAGGCAGAACUGAAGAUGAGUGGGUGUAGUGAAGCUCUAUUGGGACUGUUUUGGAGUUAAGCGAUCAUUUUAGACGCUUGCUUCGAAAUUUGUUCUCAUAUUGCUUUUUUGCGCUCAUUCAACACUACGACCAGUAGUUAAGCGAGCUUGUGUGCAGAUAAAGGUAGCUUCAUUUUAGAAGUGUUAUAUUAUCGGCUUGCAGCGCUUGCUGAGUACUGUUAUGCAGUGUGCCAUUGAGGCAGUACAUGGUUGGUUUAUUGGGGAAUAGGUGUGGCUACAUCAUUUUAGAUGUACUAUGCCUUAUUUCUUUAUGAUCUAACCCUCUGUUUGUUUCAUUGCAGUUGUAGUGAAAUGGUAGGUAUCUGCCUGACCCGUCUUGAAACACGGACCAAGGAGUUUAGCAUAUACGCAAGUCAUUGGGUUGUACGAAACCUAAAGGCGCAGUGAAGGUAAAGGUCUGAUUUUUCAGGCUAAGGUAGGAUCUCGCUGUCAAUGCGCAUUGAGUGCAUGCGGUGAGCGCACUACCAGCUCGUCUCAUGUCUUAUUAGGCGAGGCGAAGCAAGAGCGUAUAUGCUGAGACCCGAAAGAUGGUGAACUAUGCUUGUGUAGGUUGAAGCCAGAGGAAACUCUGGUGGAGGACCGUAGCGAUUCUGACGUGCAAAUCGAUCGUCAAACAUGAGUAUAGGGGCGAAAGACUAACCGAACCAUCUAGUAGCUGGUUCCCUCCGAAGUUUCCCUCAGGAUAGCAGGCACUCGGGAAACAAGCAGUUUUAUCCGGUAAAGCGAAUGAUUAGCAGUAUUGGGGAUGAAAUAUCCUCAACUGAUUCUCAAACUUUAAAUGGGUGAGAAGCUUUACUCUCUUAAAUUUGGAGUAGAGCAUUGAAUGUGAGUGCCUAGUGGGCCAUUUUUGGUAAGCAGAACUGGCGCUGUGGGAUGAACCAAACGUCUGGUUACGGAGCCUAACAUAACGCUCAUGAGAAACCACAAAAGGUGUUGGUUGAUUUUGACAGCAGGACGGUGGCCAUGGAAGUCGGAAUCCGCUAAGGAGUGUGUAACAACUCACCUGCCGAAUCAACCAGCCCUGAAAAUGGAUGGCGCUCGAGCGUUGGUCCUAUACCAGACCGUUAUCGCAAACUUGCAUAGUAUGUGAUAACGAGUAGGAGGGCGCUGUGAUGAGCAUUGAAGCCUAGGUCGUGAGACUGGGUGGAGCCGUCACGGGUGCAGAUCUUGGUGGUAGUAGCAAAUAUUCAAGUGAGAACCUUGAAGACUGAAGUGGAGAAGGGUUCC